AUGAGUAUUCCCUGUGCUUAAAUGUGGAAUGUUUUCAUAACUGGAAAAUUGAGGAAAUUUUUAAGAAAACGGCACUGACCAGGGGAAGUGGGCAAGGAAUUACACAAGUUCAUCAGAAACAAUGAGAGUAACAUUUUUUCGUUACAUACAACAAAACUUAAAGACAGGUUAUACUUCGAGUGCAGUUUAUAAAAGUUCGAAGAGUAACCAACCAUAUUUGUUUGUUCCAUCAUUACUAUCGAGGAAUCGUGUACGAGAAUUUGUUUACUUCACCUUCCAUGUACUACAGUAUUCUACUUUGCGGAAUGUGGAAAGCCAUGAAAAGAGAACAGAAAGAGGAAUAUUUUGCCCGGACACGCCGGGCAGAUACAGAGCAUAAAAAAGUAUCCCUGAGUUUACACGGCGACUAAUUCGAUACCAACGUUUCGGAGAAAGAUCCUUUCUCAAUCUUCAGGGCUGAAGUGCCUAUGCGGUGAAAUGGAGACAUUUAUAUUAGAGGACAGAAAAAUUGGAGACACUUUCUCCAAAACCUUUUCAUCUACUUACGAGUCACGGCACCAGAACCCAGAUAUCGAGAUGUUAUAAUAUUAAAAUGGGAGUAACUUAAACAUUUAAUUUUGCAAUUAGAUAUGUUCAAAAGGCAUUUUAUUGUUCCUGUCAUUCUGUAAUAAAUGAUUUAUGAUUUUCCUUCUCUGAUGAGUGCAUGUUCUGAACACGGGAAAUUUCUCAUAUAUAAUUUUACAGCUUUGCACCAUUUCCAUUUUUAUAAUCGUUAACAUGCAUACAAUGAUCAUACAUGUCCGCUGAAUUCGAAUAGCUUUGAAGACAAUUUGUCGAUCACUAAUACUCUGCACAUUAGAUUAUUAACAAGUGAUUGUUCUGAAGUACAUUUUGCAUUGC
This is a long non-coding RNA of Zootermopsis nevadensis, 900 nucleotides long. RefSeq lists it as uncharacterized. The record is from RefSeq and is a predicted model, not a curated record. NCBI's taxonomy places the organism in Eukaryota, Metazoa, Arthropoda, Insecta, Blattodea, Termopsidae.